AACUAUGAUGGGGACAAAGAGUUUGCAAUUCCUUGUAUCUUUCCCAUGCUUGGUAUAAACUUUCACUAUCCUUUUGGGCAAAUGAAGAAGUUUGCUUCUUCAAGGU
RNAcentral lists this small nucleolar RNA (106 nucleotides) under Olea europaea subsp. europaea. Its description in RNAcentral is "Plant small nucleolar RNA R71". It matches the Rfam family "Plant small nucleolar RNA R71". From Rfam's summary of the family: R71 is a member of the C/D box family of snoRNAs containing the C (UGAUGA) and D (CUGA) box motifs. Multiple nearly identical copies of this snoRNA have been identified in Arabidopsis, and it is thought to function as a 2'-O-ribose methylation guide for 18S ribosomal RNA. Lineage: Eukaryota; Viridiplantae; Streptophyta; Magnoliopsida; Lamiales; Oleaceae. The record is from Rfam by way of RNAcentral.